RNAcentral lists this transfer RNA (71 nucleotides) under Microgenomates group bacterium ADurb.Bin219. RNAcentral describes it as "tRNA-Met". The record is from RNAcentral.
UGCGGGGUAGUGUACAGUAGCACGGAAGGCUCAUAAUCUUCCAGGCCGGGCGCGACUCCCGGCCCCGCAAC